Unclassified non-coding RNA from Aotus nancymaae (Ma's night monkey), 301 nucleotides. It matches the Rfam family "Metazoan signal recognition particle RNA". From Rfam's summary of the family: The signal recognition particle (SRP) is a universally conserved ribonucleoprotein. It is involved in the co-translational targeting of proteins to membranes. Lineage: Eukaryota; Metazoa; Chordata; Mammalia; Primates; Aotidae. The record is from Ensembl.
ACCAGGCAUGGUAGAUUGUGCCUGUAGUCCCAGCUACGCAGGAGGCUGAGGCAGGAGGAUGGCUCGGGCAGCCCAGGAGUUCUGAGCUGUAGCGCCCUAUGCUGAUCGGGUGCCUGCACCAAGUUUGAUUCAAUAUGGUGACCUCCUGGGAGCAGGGAACCACCAGGUUGCCUAAGGAGGGAUGAACUGUCCCAGGUCAGAAGUGAAGCAGGUCAAAACUCGUGUGAUGAUCAGUAGUGGGACAGUGCCUGUGAAUAGUCACUGCAUUUCCACCUGGGCAAUAUAAUGAGACCUUGUCUCA